UGGGUAACCUGCCUCAAAGAGGGAAUAGCCUCCCGAAAGGGAGAUUAAUACCGCAUAAUAUAUUUAGGUCGCAUGACUUUAACAUCAAAGGAUUUUCUUUUAGAAAUUCCACUUUGAGAUGGACCCGCGGCACAUUAGCUAGUUGGUGAGGUAACGGCUCACCAAGGCAACGAUGCGUAGCCGACCUGAGAGGGUGAUCCGGCCACAUUGGAACUGAGACACGGUCCAGACUCCGUAGGG
RNAcentral lists this ribosomal RNA (240 nucleotides) under uncultured bacterium. Its description in RNAcentral is "partial 16S ribosomal RNA". It matches the Rfam family "Bacterial small subunit ribosomal RNA", at positions 118 to 345 of the family's 1533-position model. The record is from RNAcentral.